CUCAUGUUUCCCAUCACCAGCUCCAAAAUUAAGUGGUUUCACUGGCAGCUUUCUUGAGCAGGACAUGACAUGGCAGUCCCUUUGCUGAUGCUGCCAGCCGCCGUGAUGUCCUGCACUGCAGUUAUGCUGCAUCUCUUCCCCACUCUCUGCUUGCUCCCAGAGACAGGAAUUCCUGCUCAAACAGGUACGUGCGAGAGGGCCGCUUCCGCAUCGAGGAGAGGACGCUGACGGCUUUCCAGUGGCUCUACUCGCCCCAGCAGCACCGCAUCGUCAGCAGGGCAGACCUGGGCUCCCCCAGCAGCAGUUUUGCUCCAAGAUCCCUUAAAGCCCUGAAGUAUUUAUCUGCCUGGAACUGCAUGGAUGAGAACAGCAGUGGGAGGGUGGCUGCAGAGGAUGGAGGUGCCCAAAAUCCACUUGGAUUUCCCAGGACAGGAAGGGCUGUGGGUACUUUUCAUGCAGGGCAAGCCGGGUGGGGUGGAAGGACGUGACAUUCACACCUGGGACAGGUGACAUUCACACCUGGGAGGGACUUCCAGGGGCACGAUGAGGUGCCGGCUGUUGCCGGCAGGAGCCACGGCAGACACGCUGCCUGCUGCCAUCUGCUUCCCGCGACGGGAAUUCCUCUGCCUGCCUCUGGAGAGGCUUUCCAGAAACUGGAAUGACUGUGCUGUUUAUUGAUUUUAACUAAUUUUUGCAAAUUGCUUUCAGAGGUUGUGUUAGCCCGGCGCCUGAUGUGCAUGUCUCAUUUGGCACGUGCAACUGAAAUGCGUGUAACAUCAUUUAUAAUUGAUGUUGAGUGCUGUUGGGGUUAAUUUCACUAGAUUCAUUUGAUUUCCCGAGGGCGUUAAUUUCCCUGGAUUCCUUUGAUUUCCCAGCGGAAAAGUUACCUGGAAGCUUCCCCUGGGAAGUUACCUGGAGCCGUCUGGAGACUCUGUAGGAUACCAACGACCAAUUAUGAGUGGUGUCUGUGUCUCUCUCAUGGGAGUAAAAUNGUCAGCGGGCAGGGACAGGCCCCGGGGGCUGCUUGUGCCACCAUCCGUCCUUCCCGGGCUGCAGAGGAGCUGAGGGAUGCAGCCUCUGCCGGCAGGUCUGGACGUGGCCAAGGGCCUGUGCUGGGUCAGCCCGGGUCCCUUCAGCGCUGGCUGAUUCCCAACGGGAGCUGCAUCCCGUGUGCACUGGAGUGAGCCUGAACGCUGUGCCCUUCCAGGGUGGCCACGGGAGUGCUGUGGGACCACAGCUUUCCUCCGCCACCCCCAAGUCAAUUAUUAGGGGGAUUUUUCCAUUUAAUUUAUAAAUGAGUUUAACUUUGCCUCAGAUAUUAUUUUUCAAUCUAAUUGAAAUGUAGUGUAUGUGUGCCUUCUAAUUGCUUUGAAGAACCUAAUAAGAAGCUCCUUAAAGUCUAAAGGCUAAAAGCUGGAGGAUUUUAAUAAAUUUAACAUUAGCUUAACA
Molecule: long non-coding RNA, 1449 nt
Filed under: Zonotrichia albicollis (white-throated sparrow)
Lineage: Eukaryota; Metazoa; Chordata; Aves; Passeriformes; Passerellidae
Description: lncRNA (ENSZALG00000012397.1)
Source: RNAcentral